RNAcentral lists this ribosomal RNA (460 nucleotides) under uncultured bacterium. RNAcentral describes it as "partial 16S ribosomal RNA". It matches the Rfam family "Bacterial small subunit ribosomal RNA", at positions 338 to 795 of the family's 1533-position model. The record is from RNAcentral.
CCUACGGGCGGCAGCAGUGAGGAAUAUUGGUCAAUGGACGAGAGUCUGAACCAGCCAAGUAGCGUGAAGGAUGACUGCCCUAUGGGUUGUAAACUUCUUUUAUAUGGGAAUAAAAUGUUCCACGUGUGGGAUUUUGUAUGUACCAUAUGAAUAAGGAUCGGCUAACUCCGUGCCAGCAGCCGCGGUAAUACGGAGGAUCCGAGCGUUAUCCGGAUUUAUUGGGGUUAAAGGGAGCGUAGGGGGAUUGUUAAGUCCGUUGUGAAAGUUUGCGGCUCAACCGUAAAAUUGCAGUUGAAACUGGCAGUCUUGAGUACAGUAGAGGUGGGCGGAAUUCGUGGUGUAGCGGUGAAAUGCUUAGAUAUCACGAAGAACCCCGAUUGCGAAGGCAGUUCACUGGACUGCAACUGACACUGAGGCUCGAAAGUGUGGGUAUCAAACAGGAUUAGAUACCCUUGUAGUC